RNAcentral lists this ribosomal RNA (305 nucleotides) under uncultured bacterium. RNAcentral's name for it is "bacterial SSU rRNA". It matches the Rfam family "Bacterial small subunit ribosomal RNA", at positions 333 to 655 of the family's 1533-position model. The record is from RNAcentral.
AUUUGCCUACGGGGCGCAGCAGUGAGGGAUAUUGGUCAAUGGGGGAAACCCUGAACCAGCAACGCCGCGUGAGGGAAGACGGUUUUCGGAUUGUAAACCUCUGUCCUCUGUGAAGAUAAUGACGGUAGCAGAGGAGGAAGCUCCGGCUAACUACGUGCCAGCAGCCGCGGUAAUACGUAGGGAGCGAGCGUUGUCCGGAUUUACUGGGUGUAAAGGGUGCGUAGGCGGCCCUGCAAGUCAGAAGUGAAAUCCAUGGUCUUAACCCGUGGACUGCUUUUGAAACUGCAGGAGUUGAGUGGAGUAGG